GCGGGUUACUUGAAAUGCAGGUGCAGCUGGACUUUUCUCUGAGCUAAAAGCAUAUCUAUUUAGUCUGCCUAAAAAACAGAUUAUUACCUUUGCUGCAGCUAACAUAAAGGAGAUUAGUUCUUGUGCUGACUGAUGCAGGAUUCACAGAGACAGCUUCGGCUGGCCUUUGUAAACUCGAUCUCAAAUCAAGUAAGACUACCCGCUGAACUUAAGCAUAUCAAUAAGCGGAGGAAAAGAAACUAACAAGGAUUCCCCUAGUAACGGCGAGUGAAGCGGGAUGAGCUCAAAUUUAAAAUCUGGCUGGUUUACUAGUCCGAAUUGUAGUUUAAAGAAGCGUUUUCGGUGGCAGCCUGGGUAUAAAUCCUUUGGAACAGGGUAUCAUAGAGGGUGAGAAUCCCGUCUUUGACUCAGUGCAUGCUACUAUGUGAUACGUUUUCAAAGAGUCGAGUUGUUUGGGAAUGCAGCUCAAAAUGGGUGGUAAAUUUCAUCUAAAGCUAAAUAUUGGCGAGAGACCGAUAGCGAACAAGUACCGUGAGGGAAAGAUGAAAAGAACUUUGAAAAGAGAGUUAAACAGUGCGUGAAAUUGUUGAAAGGGAAACGCUUGACACCAGUCAUGCGAGCGGAAAAUCAGUCUUUUGCGGUGGGGAGAGUGUGUGGGUUCGGACCGCAAGGCCGGCCUGCGCUUCAUCUCUGCUGUAAGUGAUGCACUUUUUCGUUUGCAGGCCAACAUCAGUUUCUUCUGCUGGACAAAACUCUUGAGAAGGUAGCAGCUUAGGCUGUGUUAUAGCUCUUGAGCGAUACAGUGGAGGAGACUGAGGUUUUCGCAGCGCGUGCUUUCGGGCAAGGCUGAUUGGGUGCUAUGGGAUCGUUCGGUGUACAAUGCAUGCAUUUUGCGCCGUGUCUUUUCUAUACUCGCUCAACUCGGCUCUCCGCG
RNAcentral lists this ribosomal RNA (934 nucleotides) under Mortierella globalpina. RNAcentral describes it as "eukaryotic LSU rRNA". The stretch from base 176 to 934 matches the Rfam family "Eukaryotic large subunit ribosomal RNA", at positions 1 to 605 of the family's 3401-position model. Lineage: Eukaryota; Fungi; Mortierellomycota; Mortierellomycetes; Mortierellales; Mortierellaceae. The record is from RNAcentral.